AUUGAACGCUGGCGGCAGGCCUAACACAUGCAAGUCGAACGAGUGGCGGACGGGUGAGUAAUGUCUGGGAAACUGCCCGAUGGAGGGGGAUAACUACUGGAAACGGUAGCUAAUACCGCAUACCAUCGGAUGUGCCCAGAUGGGAUUAGCUUGUAGGUGAGGUAACGGCUCACCUAGGCGACGAUCCCUAGCUGGUCUGAGAGGAUGACCAGCCACACUGGAACUGAGACACGGUCCAUGCUCCUCCGGGAGGCCGCAGGGGGGAAUAUUGAACAAGGGUCGCAAGCCUGAUGCAGCCAUGCCGCUUGUAUGAAGAGGGCCUUCGGGUUGUAAAGUACUUUCAGCGGUGAGGCGUUACCCGCAGAAGACGCACCGGCUAACUCCGUGCCAGCAGCCGCGGUAAUAC
RNAcentral lists this ribosomal RNA (406 nucleotides) under uncultured bacterium. Its description in RNAcentral is "partial 16S ribosomal RNA". It matches the Rfam family "Bacterial small subunit ribosomal RNA", at positions 30 to 526 of the family's 1533-position model. The record is from RNAcentral.